RNAcentral lists this ribosomal RNA (434 nucleotides) under uncultured bacterium. Its description in RNAcentral is "partial 16S ribosomal RNA". It matches the Rfam family "Bacterial small subunit ribosomal RNA", at positions 29 to 507 of the family's 1533-position model. The record is from RNAcentral.
AGCGAACGCUGGCGGCAGGCCUAACACAUGCAAGUCGAACGAACCUUUCGGGGUUAGUGGCGGACGGGUGAGUAACACGUGGGAACGUGCCUUUAGGUUCGGAAUAACUCAGGGAAACUUGUGCUAAUACCGAAUGUGCCCUUCGGGGGAAAGAUUUAUCGCCUUUAGAGCGGCCCGCGUCUGAUUAGCUAGUUGGUUGAGGUAAUGGCUCACCAAGGCUACGAUCAGUAGCUGGUCUGAGAGGAUGAUCAGCCACAUUGGGACUGAGACACGGCCCAAACUCCUACGGGAGGCAGCAGUGGGGAAUCUUGCGCAAUGGGCGAAAGCCUGACGCAGCCAUGCCGCGUGAAUGAUGAAGGUCUUAGGAUUGUAAAAUUCUUUCACCGGGGACGAUAAUGACGGUACCCGGAGAAGAAGCCACGGCUAACUUCGUG